CUGACUUUUAAUGCCUUAAAAAUACUGUCCAAGGUAGCUUUCCUUUUGAUUUAUCUUUAUGUAUAUUUUCACCAAAACUGCAGCCUUAAAAAUGCUUUCAAAGUCUCACGGAAUUGCCCUGAUAAGACAUAUUUUAGUUUCAGUUCAGUUACUCCAUUUUAUGUGUCACGUUUCCAAUUACUAUGCAAUAUCUACCUGAGAAUUCAACUACUCCACCUUAGAUGAAAGACCUCAAGUAUCUUUGAUAAGACUCUUCAGCAUACAAGAAACUUAUUUCAUUCAAUCUAUUCAACAAAUAUACAUUGAGCACCUGCCAUGUAAUAGGCAAUGUUCUGUGAGCCAAGUAUACAUGAAUAAAGAGCAGAUAUUCAAUAAGUGCCUCUGGAAAGUUAAGGCUUAUUUUUUUAAAUUCAAUCAUCUGAGUUGGAAGUGAUCUGAAUGGAGUAGAUGGGAGAAAGUGUUACACAUAAAAAACAAAUCCAAGAGUAAUGUCAAAUUUGAGGGAUUAAAUUGUUAUUUUCCCCUUAUAAGGAUUAAAAAAUUUUAAACCUACUUUAUUGAGGUUGUAAUAUUGGAUCACUUUGCAUCUAUUAGUAACUGAUAUGAAUUCGCUCCCCAAUCCAUAUCAUUUGUUCCCACUAAAAUCUCCUCUUGAAAUGUAAUCCCCAUAAUCUCCACGUGUCAUGGCGGGACCAAGUGGAGGUAAUCGAAUCACAGGGGCAGUUUCCUCUAUGUUGUUCUCAUGAUAAUGCGUGAGUCUUAUGAAUUGAGGCAUUAGGCUGUUUCCCUCUUUAUAUCUAGUUUAUUAGUAAUCUCUCUCAUAACACUGGGCAUUGCACUGAAACAAAUGUAAAGAUCUUAAUAAGAAGGGUAUAAAAUUUAGAGGGCCAGGGGUAGAAUUGCUAUAGUUUGGAUUAUUUGACUCCUCCAGACCUUAUGUUGAAAUCUGAUCCUCAAUGUUUUAGGUGGGGCCUAAAGGGAAGUGUUUGGAUCAUGGAGGUAGAUACUUCAUGAAUAGCUUGUUGCUAUCCUCACAGUAAUGAGCCCUCUUGCUGUAUUAAUUCCUGUAAGAGCUGGUUGCUAUAAAGAGCUUGGUACCUGCUCUCACCGCCUUGCUCUCUUGCUUUCUCUCUCACCGCGUGCUCUGUGCACAUGCCUGCUCCUCUUUGCCUUCUGUCAUGAGUGAGGACUGCCUGCAGCCUUCCCCAGAAGCAGAUGCUGGUGUCAUGCCUCUUGUAUAACCUGCCUAACUGUGAGCCAAAUAGAUCUCUUUUCUUUAGCAUUUACUCAGACUCCAGUUUUCCUUGACAGCAACACUGAAAGAACGAAGACAAUGGCUCUUCCAGAGGAAGAAAGAUUAUCCUGUCCUGGCUAUCUUGU
Molecule: long non-coding RNA, 1380 nt
Filed under: Homo sapiens (human)
Lineage: Eukaryota; Metazoa; Chordata; Mammalia; Primates; Hominidae
Description: non-protein coding LINC01689:10
Source: RNAcentral